GAUGAACUCUAUGUGCUUUACGGGACAGAACCAAGAUGUGACUCAUUGCUCUGAGCUGUGUAAAGAUUACAUCUGCUUCAGCCAUGGAGGCUGGGAUGUCCGAUAAUAGACAGACAUCAGAGGUGGAGCUGGAAAGAGACAACAAAAAUCUGGACUCUUAAGGUUUUUAUUUUACCCGAAAUAAAUGUUUGUGCUCUCUGUGUAAUCUCAGGACAUCUGUCACAAUAAGGAAGACAUCAUAAUGGGAGCAGCAGGCUCUGCUUUCUAGAAGACUACAAUGGGAGUUUUGUGAGCUCAGCAGUUUUGUGAUGAAGAGAGCAGAAUGGCAGCAGUCAGGAUGGAGUAAUUUACAUUUCCUCCUUCCCUCUGCAGUGGUGCAGAUUGCUGCACCAUUCAGUGUGGCCUGCUGGGCUUCAGUGCAUAGGCCAUGGUCCCUCUCUCAUACAGCACCUCUGUGCUCAUCUGCUUGCAUGCACUAAAGGUUUUGUGAAAAAAGGACACAGGUCACUCACUACUAUAACCAGUAUAUCUGCUUGGGAAUUUUGUAUCUGUGAUAUUAUUAUUUCUUAAAAAUAUAUUCAUGGGGGUUUUUUGUACUCAUCUGGUUUUUUGUUUUGAAGAAGACUAAUGAUACUUGUUUGCUAGUGUGGAAUGGGACAUAAAU
This is a long non-coding RNA of Corapipo altera (White-ruffed manakin), 664 nucleotides long. RefSeq lists it as uncharacterized. The record is from RefSeq and is a predicted model, not a curated record. The transcript is spliced from 3 exons. Lineage: Eukaryota; Metazoa; Chordata; Aves; Passeriformes; Pipridae.